This 423-nucleotide ribosomal RNA is filed under the name uncultured bacterium. Its description in RNAcentral is "bacterial SSU rRNA". It matches the Rfam family "Bacterial small subunit ribosomal RNA", at positions 207 to 622 of the family's 1533-position model. The record is from RNAcentral.
AAGACCUUGCACUUUUGGAGCGGCCGAUGUCUGAUUAGCUAGUUGGUGGGGUAAUGGCCUACCAAAGCUUCGACCAGUAGCUGGUCUGAGAGGACGGCCAGCCACACUGGGACUGAGACACGGCCCAGACUCCUACGGGAGGCAGCAGUGGGGAAUUUUGGACAAUGGGCGCAAGCCUGAUCCAGCCAUGCCGCGUGAGUGAAGAAGGCCUUCGGGUUGUAAAGCUCUUUCAGCCGGGAAGAAAAGGUUGCGACUAAUAAUCGCAAUUCAUGACGGUACCGAAAGAAGAAGCACCGGCUAACUACGUGCCAGCAGCCGCGGUAAUACGUAGGGUGCGAGCGUUAAUCGGAAUUACUGGGCGUAAAGGGUGCGCAGGCGGUUUUGUAAGUCAGAUGUGAAAUCCCCGGGCUUAACCUGGGAACU